This 1371-nucleotide ribosomal RNA is filed under the name uncultured bacterium. RNAcentral describes it as "bacterial SSU rRNA". It matches the Rfam family "Bacterial small subunit ribosomal RNA", at positions 28 to 1381 of the family's 1533-position model. The record is from RNAcentral.
GAUGAACGCUGGCGGCGUGCCUAAUACAUGCAAGUCGAGCGAACGGACGAGAAGCUUGCUUCUCUGAUGUUAGCGGCGGACGGGUGAGUAACACGUGGAUAACCUACCUAUAAGACUGGGAUAACUUCGGGAAACCGGAGCUAAUACCGGAUAAUAUUUUGAACCGCAUGGUUCAAAAGUGAAAGACGGUCUUGCUGUCACUUAUAGAUGGAUCCGCGCUGCAUUAGCUAGUUGGUAAGGUAACGGCUUACCAAGGCAACGAUGCAUAGCCGACCUGAGAGGGUGAUCGGCCACACUGGAACUGAGACACGGUCCAGACUCCUACGGGAGGCAGCAGUAGGGAAUCUUCCGCAAUGGGCGAAAGCCUGGCGGAGCAACGCCGCGUGAGUGAUGAAGGUCUUCGGAUCGUAAAACUCUGUUAUUAGGGAAGAACAUAUGUGUAAGUAACUGUGCACAUCUUGACGGUACCUAAUCAGAAAGCCACGGCUAACUACGUGCCAGCAGCCGCGGUAAUACGUAGGUGGCAAGCGUUAUCCGGAAUUAUUGGGCGUAAAGCGCGCGUAGGCGGUUUUUUAGUCUGAUGUGAAAGCCCACGGCUCAACCGUGGAGGGUCAUUGGAAACUGGAAAACUUGAGUGCAGAAGAGGAAAGUGGAAUUCCAUGUGUAGCGGUGAAAUGCGCAGAGAUAUGGAGGAACACCAGUGGCGAAGGCGACUUUCUGGUCUGUAACUGACGCUGAUGUGCGAAAGCGUGGGGAUCAAACAGGAUUAGAUACCCUGGUAGUCCACGCCGUAAACGAUGAGUGCUAAGUGUUAGGGGGUUUCCGCCCCUUAGUGCUGCAGCUAACGCAUUAAGCACUCCGCCUGGGGAGUACGACCGCAAGGUUGAAACUCAAAGGAAUUGACGGGGACCCGCACAAGCGGUGGAGCAUGUGGUUUAAUUCGAAGCAACGCGAAGAACCUUACCAAAUCUUGACAUCCUUUGACAACUCUAGAGAUAGAGCCUUCCCCUUCGGGGGACAAAGUGACAGGUGGUGCAUGGUUGUCGUCAGCUCGUGUCGUGAGAUGUUGGGUUAAGUCCCGCAACGAGCGCAACCCUUAAGCUUAGUUGCCAUCAUUAAGUUGGGCACUCUAAGUUGACUGCCGGUGACAAACCGGAGGAAGGUGGGGAUGACGUCAAAUCAUCAUGCCCCUUAUGAUUUGGGCUACACACGUGCUACAAUGGACAAUACAAAGGGCAGCGAAACCGCGAGGUCAAGCAAAUCCCAUAAAGUUGUUCUCAGUUCGGAUUGUAGUCUGCAACUCGACUACAUGAAGCUGGAAUCGCUAGUAAUCGUAGAUCAGCAUGCUACGGUGAAUACGUUCCCGGGUCU